Oreochromis aureus is the source of this 2190-nucleotide long non-coding RNA. The record is from Ensembl. NCBI's taxonomy places the organism in Eukaryota, Metazoa, Chordata, Actinopteri, Cichliformes, Cichlidae.
UGUUGGGUUUUUCUCUGUAUUUAUUAUUGUGCUAUCUACUGUACAAUAUAAAGCGCCUUGAGGCGACUUUUGUUGUGAUUUGGCGCUAUAUAAAUAAAAUUGAAUUGAAUUGAAUUGAAUACUAUAACAUAACAGAUAUACUGUGAUGUUGCAGACAUAGUAUGUUUUUGCACUACUCAUUUGUAGUGAAAAAAAUUAGCAAUAUAAAUUACAGGUCUGUGAUAGUGUAUAAAUUUGCAGUGAAAAAAAAAAUGUUGAACAAGGUGGGAUUGAACCCACGACCUUUGAGCUGCAGAGCCGUGUCAUUACUAAUUGCGCCACCUGGAAAGGGGGCGGACGGCUGAAAGACAGACACUUGACCAGCAGUUGCUGAAAACAACUGAAAAAGCAGAAUUAUCUGCUAAAUAAGAGGUGUAGACGCGCUUGAUGGAGAUGGCUUUAUGUGUAAGGGUACACUGAAGAGUGUCAAGAAAGGAGAGUGCAUGCAAGCAGGGAAGAUGUGUAGCAACUGUCACAGGUAGGACUCGAACCUCUGCCACCGGGUCUCACAGCAGCUGCUCAACCAACACGUUCUCACUCCCAACUCGUCAAAUGUGUGACGCAUGGUCAGGCUCCCUCUGCUUCACUUAUCGACGCGCAGGGUACCCCCCUCGCGUCGAGAAUUGACGUGCAGGGUCCUCCUAUUGAAUACUAUAGAGCUCCCUAAAUGUUGUUUAUUGACGACAAGAGAUUGCCGGAAGAGCCUGUUGUCCGUAUAUUUAUACAUUUCCGAAAUCACAUUGUAGUGACGUGUACUGAACACAAUAUAUUAUAUAAUGUAAACAACUACCUGAGAAACAGCAGAUACAGCAGCUAAAUUAAUUAUAGGCUAUUACUUUUGUAUGGUUUAUUGCAUUUAUGGAGGGAGAGGUGUAUGCUGGGUAAUGGCACAGUUGGCGACACGGUGACUUUAUUCACCCGCUUCGGCUGUUAUCAGUCCAUACAAUGGGCGUUAUUAGCAGAAAUCAGUCCCAUAGAUAUGGGCCAUCUCCACCUGCUAGAUUGUUCAGAAGGUUGUUAUCAUCCAUCCAGAUGGAGGAUCAGUAACAGGAGCGUGGGAAGACUCCAGAAUCCACUCUGGCUGGAAUCCGGUGGAUACAGCAGUGUUACAGGUAUAGUACGUGAUAUUAAGGGCAGGCGGUCAACAUUGGGGGAAGAAAAGAAGCAGACGUACUUCCAAGAGGGAGCUGCAGUGAGGACACAGCCUGGUCACUGAGGUCAGAGGAGGCGCUGAAAGGUUUCCCUAAUAGUUCCUGGUGAAUCAAAGCAGGACCAUAAAGGUUGCUGGACUGCAUGAUGGCCUUACCCCUGAGAGGUCAUCCUGUUAAAGGAGGAAUCAGUUAGAAGCUGUUUUUAAAGUAGCUGAGCAGAUUUCAUCUCAACAGACAAAGCCGAUGGCAGAAGAUGUUUGGAGAAGAACUUCAGGCCGUGUACUGAAAAGUAGAUCAAAGCAGCUCGUGCUCUUUCUGCUUCCAUUUUGAUGGCAAGAAGAAGAAAAAGAAGAAGAAGAAGAAGAAGAAUGCUUCAGCGAAGUGGCGUUCAUGGUCUCAGUGGACAGUCAUGGUCACACACUGCAUGUGGUUUUAUAAGCAAGGUGUCUGUUCACCACAACAAUGGAGAUGUGUAAUAUCAGUGCAGCUACGGUUUGUUCUUGAACAUCAGUUCUGUUUUAUACUUUGACCACUUAGACCAAAAAAGUGUUGUUUUCAGAUUCUUUCUUAUAAAUCUGUAAAGCACCUGCUCAUUUUUUAUUACAAUUAGUUUCACAUAAAUGUUAGUGUUUCCUUUAUGAUCUUUUAAUGCUUACACUACACUGUGCACAUCUACAUUAGAGACAUUUCUGUUACCUAUGUAUGAGACUGGGCUGCUUGACUACGAUUUGGAAAUGGAUGCAAAAUCACACGGAUCGUGCUAAUGUUUGUUUUUUAAUAUGAUGGACUGAACACAGGAGGUAUCUGACUAAGCAAAGAUUAGUCCGAUCCCAUUUCUACCUGUCUCUACUGUUUCAACAUUUCACUGAAGUUUGCUCAACUGUACCUGUCAGGAUAUAUAUUUAUUCCAGCUCUCAUAGGGCAAAGGAAUGACUCAGACUUGUCAAAUGUUCUUUGACUUGAUACACAAUAUGAAGUUCACAAUUUUCUUACAAAUAAA